GGUGAGGGAAAAAACUUGUUUAGGAAGAAUGGGUCCAGUCUCUCCUGACAUCAUCGCCAGGAGGGGUCAACAUCUAUGUGGCCCUCUUUCCCCAUCUUACAGUUGAAAACUUUGAGCUCCCGGGAAAGAAGCGAUGACACAGAAAUUGUCCACCUCCCCAGUUUCAUUUCACAUAUAAGGUUUCCUUCAGACAGGGCUGACUGCAAGAAGCUUCUUAAUCAGACCACAAGCAUCUUCUCUCUUUCAGGAGCACAUGGGUUGUAAUUUUUAAAUAAGUAGACCAAUGCUAGGAAACUUAAAACCAAACACAUUUCAUAAGACUGAACUUUUCAGUAAGCAAGAGCUGAGCUGGCAGAGCUAGAAGCAUUCAGAGAGGAUGGCUGAGGUUGGCUGGCUCUUUGGACUGUGCACAGCACAGUCUCCAGCAUCCCUUGACCAGAGCUUGUAAAUCUUAGAGGCCAGGAGCCACUGGCUGCCCUCCCCCACCCCGCCCUUCAAACUACUUUUAAGGGCCACUGAUCUUCAGGGUCGAGAAAGUUCACUGUGACCACAUAGGACUUCAUAAAGCAAGAGUGUGGUCAUAGUAGAAGGAUCAGUUCCCACAGUAACUGAUAGACUGAUCAGUUCCCACAGUAACUGCAUAGACUGAUGAGCCUCUACAGACACCCAAAGCAUAAAUACCCAUGAUCAGAGGGAUCUGUUUACCAGGGAGGAGACCCACUCAUUUUUUGAUCCAGAAACUCCUGUUCUAUUUUAAGAACUGUGCUGGGUUCCUGGGUAUUGCUACAGAUACAAAAUCAAUUGAGGCCCUACGCUUAAGUUCUUUUCCAGCAACUAGUACAGGAGACAGAAUAGAGAGAUCAACAACUCUUUAGUGCUGUGAUAGAGGGAAGUAUGUGGGGAGGUAUGUGGUAUCUAAGUCAGAUUGGGGUAUUUGAGAGAGCUUCCUGGAAGAGGUGGUAUUUGAGUUGAGUUUCGAAGGAUAAGCAGGCAUUAUCAGGAGGGAGGCCUUCCUAGGAAGACAAGCCAGCAGUGUAUAUGGUCCUAAAAUAGCACAGUGCAUUCAGGGAUGUAUAGCAAAGAGUGAAUGCGCUAAAUGGCUGAAAAAGAAGCUAGGCGGAGAGCAGGAGGCAGACACAGGGUACGGGAGCUAAGCUAAGGAGGUAGAACUUGACCCUGAGGGAUAAGGGGGCCGGGUGAUCAGGGAGGUGAGGUGAACAGAUGUGUUUCAGAAGGACCUCUCUGGCUAGAAGGAUGGAUAGAAUGGGAACAGCCUGGAGGCUGGGGCCGAGCUAGGAGGUGAAUGCAGUAACCCAGUAUUUUGAAUUCUUCCAGCAGAAGACGUCUUGAAGAGUUUGACUCAGGUGUCACAGCAUAAAAGUCAGGGUCACCCAGGAGGGUGUGGCCUGGGCAAGCCUUUGGACCUGAGGGUGGUAAUAUACCCAGCAGGAAAUGGUUUACCUGGAUUGUACCUGUGUCUCCUUCCUGAUAAUACUAUGGACAAUUAACUUGUUUUCAUGUCUUUGCUGGCUCUGAGAGACCAGCCUCAAAAUGGGCUCCUUUGUUCUCCAGUGGGUCUGGUGGAGGUGUGAGGAGUUGUGGCGGCCCACAGGCCUCGUAACUAACUAUAGCAGGUUUGUGCUGUUCGGUUUGCUUCUAUGGCAGCUUGCUGUGGGGGCGGGGGGAGAGUGCUGGUAGGGAGUUAGCCAGGUCAGAGUUUGAUCCUCACUCUACUGUGUGCCAGGAUACAACUGAACCUCAGUUGUUUUUAGCACAAAUAAUAAUACUUGCCUGGCAGAGUUGUUGUAAGGGUUAGAGAGAAGCAGCAUGAAAUGCUGAAUACAGACUAGGUGCUCUGUAAUAGUAGCUGGUGUUGUUAUUUCCCUUCCCAGAAUAGAGGAAAAGAAAACACAACUCUUGUUAUACCAUUUUGGGCCCCAAUAGACCAGGGAAAAAAGCCUACUCGUGCAAUUCUAAACUGCCCAGCAGAGAACUGAGGUUGGUUGUUAGGCGGGGUUGCUGGUGGGGGAUUUUGUCUGGCUCCUGGGAUCCAGGUGAAUGUUUUCUACAAUCUGGAGGCAGUCUGGGUUUCUCCUGGAUGUGUAUAGAGUGAGGAUGCUGCUAACACCCACCCUGGCCUCAUAUCCUUAGAGGUGUGAGGGCACUGAGUCUUCUGGCUCUCCCGCCAGUGGGUCUCUUGGCCUGGGCCCAGCUGGACAACAUCGGGAAGUGAUGUGUAGCUGGAACUCAGCAGAAUUACCUCAUGAUUGGGUAGAUACUGCCUGCAGCCAGAAUGUGUGUAUGUGUGCCCCCUGACUGGAACUUUCUGCCAGCUGCAGGGGAUCAUGCAGAAGGUCCAGCAGGUAGCUUAGAGGGGGCUUCUUGGUUCCAUGUUGUUUCCCAUUAGAGAAAAUUGAUUUUAGAUGAAUACAUUUUUAUUCCUGGUUUUCAUUCUCAAUGAGGGGCUUCUGUUUUCUCCUCCUCUUGUAUUCUGUUACUCCUUGGCAAGUGAGUCAGGCUUGCUGCCUCACGAAAACAGCCAUCACAUUGUCUCCACUCCCCUACCUAUAAUCUGUUCUCCACAUUCACACUGAAGGAGCAGGUGAUGGAGGAGGGUCAGCUCUCGGGCCUGUCUUUGGAAUAUGAAUGACCUCUCCUACUAUGCUCAGCCAUUGUACUAGGGAUGGUGAGGCUGUGUCUCUGCUUACAACAUGCUCCAGGCCUUGUGGCAGAAGACAGAUAAAUGGACAAAUUAAAGCCAAUAAACAGUCUCGGUAAACAGGUCAUAGCAUGCUGUUGCCCAGAAAUUGGUGAUGGAUCCUUGUCACCCAUAGGAUAAAUGAACCCAUUCUCGGCUUGGCAUCCAGGCCUUUCUUACACUGCCUUAGCCUUGAUUCUGGCCUUAUUCACCUUUUCCGCAUUUUUUUUUGCCCCAAGCAACAAGACCACAGAUACUAUUCUGGCCUCUCUCCUCCUCUAUUCAUGCUCUUCCCAUCCAGGAAGCUGCUGCUUUUUUUUUUUUUUUUUUCUUCUUCCUCUGCCCAUGGAUUUCCUGCUCAUCUUUUGAAGCCUAGCAGAAAUGUCAUUUCCUCUGAGAAGUCUUUCCCAUUUCCGUCAUACCUGAGAACUAACCCACCUCUCUGCUUCUGUUGCCCUUUGCACAGACUUCUGCUGAGAGCAUUUAUUACUGUGAAUCACUUUCUGCUGCUUGUGUCUAGCACAGUGCCUGACACAUGACAAGUUGCUCAGUGUCGAGAAAAUGAGUAAAUGAAUUUUUUAAUAAGACCGAAUGCGUGAAUGAAUGGCAAAGGCCCUUUCAUGUCACCUGGAAGAUGCAAAAGACAUUGCAGGCUUUCAAUUCAAUGAUGAAACCAUUUAUUGAGGGACUAUUUUAUGCCAGAGGGUAGGGUGACAAGUAUCAAUGUGAUAUGGUACCUGGUUUCCAAGAGCCCACCGUCUCCUGGAGAUAGCCAUAGUGGAACUUGGUGGGGAGGCCACCUGAAAUAAAAGCUAACCCAAGAAAUGCUUACUUCCAAGGGGUAAGCUCUGUCUCCACCUCAGCAGAGUGAAUAUCAUCCCGGUGUGUGGCGUAAAUUCACUGCAGAAAGGCCUGCUGGUGUAGGUAGGCAGGCGUUGUGAAGGUGAUGAUGUUGCCUUGUAUUUACAUAGACAGAAGGGAUAUUGGGGCUGUCUGCCCCUCAGUACCGGGUAGCAUCUGAUGUACCUUCAGAUAUUCCUUCCACAGGGUGGGUUACCAGGAAAUGGGGCUUAGUGCCACCCAGGAACCUCACCCUGGUAUGUAAUCCCAACACAAAUAAAAACCUUAUAGGGGG
Pteropus alecto (black flying fox) is the source of this 3833-nucleotide long non-coding RNA. RefSeq lists it as uncharacterized. The record is from RefSeq and is a predicted model, not a curated record. The transcript is spliced from 2 exons. NCBI's taxonomy places the organism in Eukaryota, Metazoa, Chordata, Mammalia, Chiroptera, Pteropodidae.